UGCUUAAAAUAGCCUGUUUUGAGUGAGGAGCGUGCUUGAGAUGGGUAUAGUAAACAUGUAAAGCACUUUCCAAAUGGUGUUUGGCCUCUGGGUUUUAAUGUGAAUUAUGUUGCUAGCAUAUUUUGGCAGUGGGGUCAUCCAACGGGCAACUGGAGUAUAAUUUUACAUGUACAGUGAGGAAAGGACUAGCUGUCCUGUGUCAUAGACAGCUGGCCUGCUAAGAAUUGGGUUUUGUGUGUGUGUGUGCAACUAACAAUAAUUUUAGAGAGUACUUUUUCUCUGUUUUGAUUUUUCUUCAACUUUAUGUGACUCUUUGAAUAUGAAGGAAUUCUUUUAAACAGUCCUUUUCCAUAGGUGGACUUUUCUGUCAGUAAAUACUAAAUUUGUUAAGACCAGUUAAGUAGAAAGAAUACAGUAAGUACUCUAUAUAUGAACCUU
RNAcentral lists this long non-coding RNA (438 nucleotides) under Bos taurus (domestic cattle). RNAcentral's name for it is "long non-coding RNA NONBTAT001908". The record is from RNAcentral. Lineage: Eukaryota; Metazoa; Chordata; Mammalia; Artiodactyla; Bovidae.